This is a long non-coding RNA of Amblyraja radiata (thorny skate), 1007 nucleotides long. RefSeq lists it as uncharacterized. The transcript has 4 exons. Lineage: Eukaryota; Metazoa; Chordata; Chondrichthyes; Rajiformes; Rajidae. The record is from RefSeq and is a predicted model, not a curated record.
ACAUCUUGUAAAUGUGUUCAAGAUAACACUUUACAUUGUUAAAUUUGCCUUUUUUAAGAAACUAAUUUUCUUCUCUUUUUUUUUUCCACAACCCAUUCACUCAAUUAUGCCCAGGGUUCGCCCAAAGCGACCAGUCAUUUUCUAUAAACGCAGCACCGGUAGUGGUGGCGAGAACAACAGGAUCGGCACUUUGAUGCCAGCAUGUGUAACAUAAGCAGCAUUUUACUAUUUCCAGCAGACAUGAUGUGGAGGCAGUUCAAACACAGGUAACUUGCUUCAAGUGUAGCUGCAAUGCAAGAAGUCCUUGGGCUACCAGAGUCUCUGCAAGAUUCCGCACUACUGGAAAAAAAUCUAAUUAAUGGACAUUAAUGAAACAAAGAAAAAGUAAUUCAUUGCAACGACCAAUUGAAUUAACAUGUAAUGCUUUUGUUGUGCGUGUAAUCCUCACAAAAAUAUCACCACUUCAGGCAACAGCAAAAUCCUGCUGUUAAUAGCUCGACUGCAGAAGACCACACAGAUCUCCAUUGACCUCUUGUGCACUGUGGGAGAAUGUGGCUUGUCGUUCUGGAGGUGUCAGUGGUUAGGGUCUGGUGGGAUAGCCUGGUCAUCCAAGUGCUGUGUUAAUCUGGGAGGUCUAUCAGAAAUCCAUGAGGGCUCAAAGUCCUGACCAAAGCUCCAGACAUCUGUAUAAACAGAACGUGCUCCAGUGUAAUGGAGCGAUUGACUGUCGACAACAUUUGAGAGAUGUAUUGCACGUCAACAGGCAGCAAGCCUGUUUUGUUGCAAAUGUCGUUAUAAAACGAAGUUAUUUUAACUCCCUUUAUUAAUGUAGGUUAACAAUACAAUAACAAUAAUAACUUUCCACUGUUGUUUGCACAGUGCAGUCAUUUAUUGAUAGGCUCUAAGGAUUUAACUUAAGGCAGCACUUUUCUCAUUAGCUUUGAAUCGCUCAUACCGAUUCCUCACAAAACAAAACAUACGUAAAUAAAUAGCUGUUUUUCUCUCAA